RNAcentral lists this ribosomal RNA (460 nucleotides) under uncultured bacterium. RNAcentral's name for it is "partial 16S ribosomal RNA". It matches the Rfam family "Bacterial small subunit ribosomal RNA", at positions 338 to 795 of the family's 1533-position model. The record is from RNAcentral.
CCUACGGGAGGCAGCAGUGAGGAAUAUUGGUCAAUGGACGAGAGUCUGAACCAGCCAAGUAGCGUGAAGGAUGACUGCCCUAUGGGUUGUAAACUUCUUUUAUGUGGGAAUAAAAUGUUCCACGUGUGGGAUUUUGUAUGUACCAUAUGAAUAAGGAUCGGCUAACUCCGUGCCAGUAGCCGCGGUAAUACGGAGGAUCCGGGCGUUAUCCGGAUUUAUUGGGUUUAAAGGGAGCGUAGGUGGAUUGUUAAGCCUGUCGUGAAAGUUCGCGGCUCAACCGUAACAUUGCAGUGGAAACUGGCAGUCUUGAGUACAGUAGAGGUGUGCGGAAUUCGUGGUGUAGCGGUGAAAUGCUUAGAUAUCACGAAGAACUCCGAUUGCGAAGGCAGCUCACUGGACCGCAACUGACGCUGAGGCUCGAAGGUGUGGGUAUCAAACAGGAUUAGAUACCCUGGUAGUC